UACGGAGGAUGCAAGCGUUAUCCGGAUUCAUCGGGUUUAAAGGGUGCGUAGGUGGGCUUAUAAGUCAGAGGUGAAAUCCGGCAGCUUAACUGUCGAACUGCCUUUGAUACUGUAAGUCUUGAGUUAAGUUGAAGCAGGCGGAAUAUGACAUGUAGCGGUGAAAUGCAUAGAUAUGUCAUAGAACACCGAUAGCGAAGGCAGCCUGCUAAACUUACACUGACACUGAUGCACGAAAGCGUGGGUAGCGAACAGG
RNAcentral lists this ribosomal RNA (253 nucleotides) under uncultured bacterium. Its description in RNAcentral is "partial 16S ribosomal RNA". It matches the Rfam family "Bacterial small subunit ribosomal RNA", at positions 524 to 776 of the family's 1533-position model. The record is from RNAcentral.